Molecule: ribosomal RNA, 520 nt
Filed under: uncultured Paraglomus
Lineage: Eukaryota; Fungi; Glomeromycota; Glomeromycetes; Paraglomerales; Paraglomeraceae
Description: SSU rRNA
Rfam family: Eukaryotic small subunit ribosomal RNA
Source: RNAcentral
AGCAGCCGCGGUAAUUCCAGCUCCAAUAGCGUAUAUUAAAGUUGUUGCAGUUAAAAAGCUCGUAGUUGAAUUUCAGGCCUGGCUGGACGGUCCGCCCUUCGGGUGAGUACUGUCUGUGGUCGGGUCCUACCUUCUGGCGAAGCGUCAUGGCCUUAACCGGCCGUGGCGGGGAACCAGGACUUUUACUGUGAAAAAAUUAGAGUGUUCAAAGCAGGCAAUCGCUUGGAUACAUUAGCAUGGAAUAAUGGAAUAGGACGAUGGUUCUAUUUGUUGGUUUCUAGGACCGUUGUAAUGAUUAAUAGGGAUAGUUGGGGGCAUUAGUAUUCAAUUGUCAGAGGUGAAAUUCUUGGAUUUAUUGAAGACUAACUACUGCGAAAGCAUUUGCCAAGGAUGUUUUCAUUAAUCAAGAACGAAAGUUAGGGGAUCGAAGACGAUCAGAUACCGUCGUAGUCUUAACCAUAAACUAUGCCGACUAGGAAUCGGGCGAUGUUGACAAAAUGACGCGCUCGGCACCUCAUGG